This 332-nucleotide ribosomal RNA is filed under the name uncultured bacterium. Its description in RNAcentral is "bacterial SSU rRNA". It matches the Rfam family "Bacterial small subunit ribosomal RNA", at positions 774 to 1099 of the family's 1533-position model. The record is from RNAcentral.
AGUAAAUAGAUACCCUGGUAGUCCACGCCGUAAACGAUGAGUACUAGGUGUAGGAGGUAUCGACUCCUUCUGUGCCGCAGUUAAACACAAUAAGUACUCCGCCUGGGAAGUACGGUCGCAAGAUUAAAACUCAAAGGAAUUGACGGGGGCCCGGCACAAGCAGCGGAGCAUGUGGUUUAAUUCGAAGCAACGCGAAGAACCUUACCUAGACUUGACAUCUCCUGAAUAGUGUAGAGAUACAUGAAGCCCGUUCGGGGUCGAGGAAGGCAGGUGGUGCAUGGUUGUCGUCAGCUCGUGUCGUGAGAUGUUGGGUUAAGUCCCGCAACGAGCGC